RNAcentral lists this ribosomal RNA (325 nucleotides) under uncultured eukaryote. RNAcentral's name for it is "partial 18S ribosomal RNA". It matches the Rfam family "Eukaryotic small subunit ribosomal RNA", at positions 1470 to 1796 of the family's 1831-position model. The record is from RNAcentral.
CCCCUAGAUGUUCUGGGCCGCACGCGCGCUACACUGAACAGUUCAACAAGUCUUAACCUUGGCCGAUAGGUCUGGGUAAUCUUUGAACGCUGUUCGUGAUUGGGAUAGACCUUUGCAAUUAUGGGUCUUCAACGAGGAAUUCCUAGUAAACGCAAGUCAUCAGCUUGCAUUGAUUACGUCCCUACCCUUUGUACACACCGCCCGUCGCACCUACCGAUUGAAUGGUCCGGUGAAUAAUUCGGACCGGUGAGCUUCCAGGUUUACCUGGCUGCUUGCUGGAAAGUCUAGUGAACCUUAUCACUUAGAGGAAGGAGAANUCGUAACA